This 22-nucleotide non-coding RNA is filed under the name Arabidopsis thaliana (thale cress). The record is from RNAcentral. Lineage: Eukaryota; Viridiplantae; Streptophyta; Magnoliopsida; Brassicales; Brassicaceae.
GGUCGCAGCUUCUGAGCCGACA